UCCUGAACUUUUCAGUUGUUGGUUCCGU
This 28-nucleotide non-coding RNA is filed under the name Mus musculus (house mouse). The record is from RNAcentral. Lineage: Eukaryota; Metazoa; Chordata; Mammalia; Rodentia; Muridae.